RNAcentral lists this ribosomal RNA (498 nucleotides) under uncultured bacterium. Its description in RNAcentral is "partial 16S ribosomal RNA". It matches the Rfam family "Bacterial small subunit ribosomal RNA", at positions 28 to 508 of the family's 1533-position model. The record is from RNAcentral.
GAUGAACGCUGGCGGCGUGCCUAAUACAUGCAAGUCGAGCGAACAGACGAGGAGCUUGCUCCUCUGACGUUAGCGGCGGACGGGUGAGUAACACGUGGAUAACCUACCUAUAAGACUGGGAUAACUUCGGGAAACCGGAGCUAAUACCGGAUAACAUGUUGAACCGCAUGGUUCAACAGUGAAAGACGGUCUUGCUGUCACUUAUAGAUGGAUCCGCGCCGCAUUAGCUAGUUGGUAAGGUAACGGCUUACCAAGGCAACGAUGCGUAGCCGACCUGAGAGGGUGAUCGGCCACACUGGAACUGAGACACGGUCCAGACUCCUACGGGAGGCAGCAGUAGGGAAUCUUCCGCAAUGGGCGAAAGCCUGACGGGGCAACGCCGCGUGAGUGAAGAAGGUCUUCGGAUCGUAAAACUCUGUUAUUAGGGAAGAACAAAUGUGUAAGUAACUAUGCACGUCUUGACGGUACCUAAUCAGAAAGCCACGGCUAACUACGUGC